CCUACGGGAGUCAGCAGUGAGGAAUAUUGGUCAAUGGACGAAAGUCUGAACCAGCCAAGUAGCGUGAAGGAUGACUGCCCUAUGGUUUGUAAACUUCUUUUAUAGGGGAAUAAAGUUUUCCACGUGUGGAUUUUUGUAUGUACCCUAUGAAUAAGCAUCGGCUAACUCCGUGCCAGCAGCCGCGGUAAUACGGAGGAUGCGAGCGUUAUCCGGAUUUAUUGGGUUUAAAGGGUGCGUAGGUUGUUUGUUAAGUCAGCGGUGAAAGUUUGUGGCUCAACCAUAAAAUUGCCGUUGAAACUGGAAGACUUGAGUGUAUUAGAGGUAGGCGGAAUGCGUGGUGUAGCGGUGAAAUGCAUAGAUAUCACGAAGAACUCCGAUUGCGAAGGCAGUUUACUGAGCCAUAACUGACACUGAGGCACGAAAGCGUGGGGAUCAAACAGGAUUAGAUACCCCGGUAGUC
RNAcentral lists this ribosomal RNA (460 nucleotides) under uncultured bacterium. Its description in RNAcentral is "partial 16S ribosomal RNA". It matches the Rfam family "Bacterial small subunit ribosomal RNA", at positions 338 to 795 of the family's 1533-position model. The record is from RNAcentral.